RNAcentral lists this ribosomal RNA (440 nucleotides) under uncultured bacterium. RNAcentral describes it as "partial 16S ribosomal RNA". It matches the Rfam family "Bacterial small subunit ribosomal RNA", at positions 338 to 795 of the family's 1533-position model. The record is from RNAcentral.
UCUACGGGGUGCAGCAGUGGGGGAUAUUGCACAAUGGGGGAAACCCUGAUGCAGCGACGCCGCGUGAGUGAAGAAGUAUUUCGGUAUGUAAAGCUCUAGCAGCAGGGAAGAAAAUGACAGUACCUGACCAAGAAGCCCCGGCUAACUACGUGCCAGCAGCCGCGGUAAUACGUAGGGGGCAGGCGUUAUCCGGAUUUACUGGGUGUACAGGGAGCGUAGACGGUUAUGUAAGUCUGGAGUGAAAGCCCGGGGCCCAACCCCGGGACUGCUUUGGAAACUGUGUAACUGGAGUACAGGAGGGGCAGGCGGAAUUCCUGGUGUAGCGGUGAAAUGCUUAGAGAUCAUACAGAACACCGAUUGCGAAGGCAGCUUACCAAGCUACUUCUGACGUUGAGGCACGAAAGCGUGGGGAGCAAACAGGAUUAGAUACCCGUGUAGUC